This 637-nucleotide long non-coding RNA is filed under the name Equus caballus (horse). RNAcentral describes it as "lncRNA (ENSECAG00000057269.1)". The record is from RNAcentral. Lineage: Eukaryota; Metazoa; Chordata; Mammalia; Perissodactyla; Equidae.
AUGUGUAUCACAUACACACAUAUAUGGGUGUACAGGUAAGAACAUAUGUAUUCGCGGAGUCCUCCAUUCUUUCUCAUGGUCGACCAAUUCCAAUAUGUAGAUGUUCUGUGACUUACUUAAUUGAUCCUUUAUUGAGCAAUUAGGUGAUUUCCAGUCUUUCCAAGAGGAAGAACCCUUCUGUUGUGAGCUCACAGAUGUGUCUCCAUAGGAUGCUUUCUCAGAAGUGGAAAUUCUGGUUGAAGAACACUUGCUGCCACCACAGGCCUGUGGUCCCAUCUCCCCAAACGCCCAUGGAUGGGAUGUCCUCUGGUCCUCAGGCCUCAGUUGCAGAAGCUGCUUCUAGGGGGUGAUGGGCUGGCUCCUGGGAACUGCUCACCUAUGGAAAUACACAAGAAAUAGACCAGAGGUUGCCUGAUGAGCAGGACACGGCCCCAGGAGGCAGGUGAUGCUAGUGAUGUUGGAGGAAUGCUUUAGAGAAAUUCGUGUGGGGCAAGAAAAGCUAAAGUGUCAACUGGCUGGGCAAACAGCAUCCAGGGAGGUUUUGCUUAAGUGUUUUAAGGUGAGAGAUGUUGGGUUUAAUCCCAAUGGCAAGGGUACCUCGAGAGGGAAAGAGUGAGGAUGGGGGACAUUGAAAGGG